UGAGUAGCUGCGAGCGAAACGGGAAGAGCUCAGCACGCAGGGGCGAUGCACUGGUGUAUCUGCCCGGUUCCGUGUACUGGAGAGUUCGUUAUCUGCCGUAACCGGUCGCUGGUUCAAGUUCAACUAGAAUGUGGCUUUUACUCCCAGAGAGGGUGAUAGGCCCGUAGAGCGGCGCACCGAUGGUAGAAGAUCUUUCCAUGGAGUCGUGUUGCUUGAUAGUGCAGCACAAAGUGGGAGGUAAACUCCUUCUAAAGCUAAAUAUCACCACGAGACCGAUAGCGAACAAGUACCGUGAGGGAAAGUUGAAAAGCACUCUGAAUAGAGAGUCAAAAAGUACGUGAAACUGCCUAGGGCUCAAGCCCGUUGAACUCGAUUAUCCGAGCGGAGACAUUCACCUGCGGUUGGCCGGCGACGGCACGGCCGCAGGGCACUUGUCUCUCGCACUAGCCAAGAGGACACUGCGAUCCAUUACGAAACAGCUUUCGCGCCGCAAGGCGCAAGGUCGCCCGACAACUGCCCCCUGGUGCUGGUUGCUUGCCCCACAGUAGCGACGCUCAGUUCUGAAGGCCUGUGCCGCGAGGUGGGGCUUACUGCACGUGGUGUUCUAGCAGUCGGGCGCGUGAUGGAUUCCCCCGGACACCGGGUGGUCUUCCCGUAAGGGGCCACCGGACUGUCGAUCGGCAGUGAAAGAAUCGAGGUACCUUCGG
Molecule: ribosomal RNA, 707 nt
Filed under: Aedes albopictus (Asian tiger mosquito)
Lineage: Eukaryota; Metazoa; Arthropoda; Insecta; Diptera; Culicidae
Description: eukaryotic LSU rRNA
Rfam family: Eukaryotic large subunit ribosomal RNA
Source: RNAcentral